Molecule: ribosomal RNA, 115 nt
Filed under: Callithrix jacchus (white-tufted-ear marmoset)
Lineage: Eukaryota; Metazoa; Chordata; Mammalia; Primates; Cebidae
Source: RNAcentral
GUCUAUGGCCAUACCACCUUCAAUGCAUCAAAUCUCAUUUGAUCUUGGAAACUAAGCAGGGUGGGGCCUGGUUAGUACUUGGAUGGGAGAAUGGGUAAACUGCCUUGCCUGGACU